Molecule: ribosomal RNA, 495 nt
Filed under: uncultured bacterium
Lineage: Bacteria
Description: bacterial SSU rRNA
Rfam family: Bacterial small subunit ribosomal RNA
Source: RNAcentral
GACGAACGCUGGCGGCGUGCUUAACACAUGCAAGUCGAGCGGUAAGGCUCCUUCGGGGGUACACGAGCGGCGAACGGGUGAGUAACACGUGAGUAAUCUGCCCUUCACUUCGGGAUAAGCUUCGGAAACGGGGUCUAAUACCGGAUAUGACAGCCAUCUGCAUGGAUUGGUUGUGGAAACUUUUGUGGGUGGGGGAUGUGCUCGCGGCCUAUCAGCUUGUUGGUGGGGUAAUGGCCUACCAAGGCUUUGACGGGUAGCCGGCCUGAGAGGGUGACCGGCCACACUGGGACUGAGACACGGCCCAGACUCCUACGGGAGGCAGCAGUGGGGAAUAUUGGACAAUGGGCGGAAGCCUGAUCCAGCAACGCCGCGUGAGGGAUGACGGCCUUCGGGUUGUAAACCUCUUUCGUCAUCGACGAAGCCUCAUGUUGAUUGGGGUGACGGUAGGUGGGGAAGAAGCACCGGCCAACUACGUGCCAGCAGCCGCCGUAACAC